Molecule: ribosomal RNA, 555 nt
Filed under: Fusarium tricinctum
Lineage: Eukaryota; Fungi; Ascomycota; Sordariomycetes; Hypocreales; Nectriaceae
Description: eukaryotic LSU rRNA
Rfam family: 5.8S ribosomal RNA (bases 191-344)
Source: RNAcentral
AACAAGGUCUCCGUUGGUGAACCAGCGGAGGGAUCAUUACCGAGUUUACAACUCCCAAACCCCUGUGAACAUACCUUAAUGUUGCCUCGGCGGAUCAGCCCGCGCCCCGUAAAACGGGACGGCCCGCCAGAGGACCCAAACUCUAAUGUUUCUUAUUGUAACUUCUGAGUAAAACAAACAAAUAAAUCAAAACUUUCAACAACGGAUCUCUUGGUUCUGGCAUCGAUGAAGAACGCAGCAAAAUGCGAUAAGUAAUGUGAAUUGCAGAAUUCAGUGAAUCAUCGAAUCUUUGAACGCACAUUGCGCCCGCUGGUAUUCCGGCGGGCAUGCCUGUUCGAGCGUCAUUUCAACCCUCAAGCCCCCGGGUUUGGUGUUGGGGAUCGGCUCUGCCUUCUGGCGGUGCCGCCCCCGAAAUACAUUGGCGGUCUCGCUGCAGCCUCCAUUGCGUAGUAGCUAACACCUCGCAACUGGAACGCGGCGCGGCCAUGCCGUAAAACCCCAACUUCUGAAUGUUGACCUCGGAUCAGGUAGGAAUACCCGCUGAACUUAAGCAUA